Non-coding RNA from Pelobates cultripes (western spadefoot toad), 353 nucleotides. Lineage: Eukaryota; Metazoa; Chordata; Amphibia; Anura; Pelobatidae. The record is from the annotation of a GenBank genome assembly.
AUUUUUUUACUUUAUUUCAAAUAUGAUGUCAAGACACAAUUUACCAAGCCCCUCCUGUUUUUGAAAUGUCCAGUAUUGUCUUUAUCCCCUUCGGUACAAAGAUGGAUUCUUUGCAUGCAAGUCACAUGACAUUAAGUAGUCGAAACAUAAUUUUUAUGUAAGCAUCAUUAUGGCAGAUUCAGAGGAAUACACAAAUCAAAAAAGGUAAUUUAUUUUAUCCACAAUUGGUAAUCAUUUAUAUAUAGCUGCUGGUACCUGGUGCAGUUUGGGGGACGUUAAAGGACCACUCUAGGCACCCAGACCACUUCAGCUUAAUGAAGUGGUCUGGGUGCCAGGUCCCUCUAGGAUUAACC